RNAcentral lists this long non-coding RNA (645 nucleotides) under Homo sapiens (human). Its description in RNAcentral is "HSALNT0055802". Lineage: Eukaryota; Metazoa; Chordata; Mammalia; Primates; Hominidae. The record is from RNAcentral.
UAAAGAUGCAAGUGUCCAGUUUGGUCAGUAUUUAGAAGAUGAGAAUAAUUGAAGGUCAGACUUGACCUUUUCUUCAAUGCUUCCCCAAAUUCCAAAUUAUUUUCUGCCUGAGGGAAGGAAAAGCAUUGCCUCCUGCCAGAGACAGCCAAGAUGCUGCAGAAGCAACAGCUGGCCAGAAGUGAUUUUCUGUGAUUUUCCCUUCCUGUGGAGCAUGCCAGUCAUAGAAAUGGAGCAUUAUGUUUCUAGCGAAUAGGGCUGGUCUGUGAAACCAGCUGAAUAUUGCAAAAACGAAGUGUGACUUCUGAGGUCAAAAAAAGGUGUGGCUUCUUUCUUUUGAAUCAGACACUCUGGGGAAAGCCAACUGCCAUACUACAAGGACAUUCAAGCAACCCUCUAUAGAAGGCCAAGCCGGGAGGAAUUGGGACUUCUCAUCUGCGGUCAGCACCAACUUGCCCAUCAUGUGAGUGAGCCGCAUUGGAAGCAGAUCCUCCAGGCUCAGUCAGGCCUACCAACAGCUGCAGCCCUGGCUGACAUCUUGAUCAAGACCUUCUGAAACACCCUGCAUCAGAACUACCCAGCUAAGCCACUCUAGGAUUCCAGACUCACAAAAGCCAUGAGAUAAUAAAUGAACAUUGUUGUAUGAAG